This 389-nucleotide ribosomal RNA is filed under the name uncultured bacterium. RNAcentral describes it as "bacterial SSU rRNA". It matches the Rfam family "Bacterial small subunit ribosomal RNA", at positions 28 to 417 of the family's 1533-position model. The record is from RNAcentral.
GACGAACGCUGGCGGCGUGCUUAACACAUGCAAGUCGAGCGGUAAGGCCCUUUCGGGGGUACGACGAGCGGCGAACGGGUGAGUAACACGUGGGCGACCUGCCCUCAGCUCUGGGAUAAGCCUGGGAAACCGGGUCUAAUACUGGAUAUGACUCCAUGACGCAUGUUGUGGGGUGGAAAGCCUUGUGCGGCUGAGGAUGGGCCCGCGGCCUAUCAGCUUGUUGGUGGGGUGAUGGCCUACCAAGGCGACGACGGGUAGCCGGCCUGAGAGGGCGACCGGCCACACUGGGACUGAGACACGGCCCAGACUCCUACGGGAGGCAGCAGUGGGGAAUCUUGCGCAAUGGGCGAAAGCCUGACGCAGCGACGCCGCGUGAGGGAUGACGGCCU